AAUGAACGCUGGCGGCAGGCCUAACACAUGCAAGUCGAACGGAUCCUUCGGGAUUAGUGGCGGACGGGUGAGUAACGCGUGGGAACAUACCCUUUGGUACGGAAUAGCCUCGGGAAACUGGGAGUAAUACCGUAUGUGGUCGAGAGACGAAAGAUUUAUCGCCAAAGGAUUGGCCCGCGUUGGAUUAGGUAGUUGGUGGGGUAAUGGCCAACCAAGCCGACGAUCCAUAGCUGGUUUGAGAGGAUGAUCAGCCACACUGGGACUGAGACACGGCCCAGACUCCUACGGGAGGCAGCAGUGGGGGAUCUUAGACAAUGGGGGAAACCCUGAUCUAGCCAUGCCGCGUGAUCGAUGAAGGCCUUAGGGUUGUAAAGAUCUUUCAGGUGGGAAGAUAAUGACUGUACCACCAGAAGAAGCCCCGGCUAACUCCGUGCCAGCCGCCGCAGUAA
RNAcentral lists this ribosomal RNA (449 nucleotides) under uncultured bacterium. Its description in RNAcentral is "partial 16S ribosomal RNA". It matches the Rfam family "Bacterial small subunit ribosomal RNA", at positions 29 to 523 of the family's 1533-position model. The record is from RNAcentral.